Molecule: ribosomal RNA, 427 nt
Filed under: uncultured bacterium
Lineage: Bacteria
Description: bacterial SSU rRNA
Rfam family: Bacterial small subunit ribosomal RNA
Source: RNAcentral
UGGGGAAUUUUGGACAAUGGGCGCAAGCCUGAUCCAGCAAUGCCGCGUGCAGGAUGAAGGCCUUCGGGUUGUAAACUGCUUUUGUACGGAGCGAAAAGGUCUGCCCUAAUACGGUGGGCUCAUGACGGUACCGGAAGAAUAAGCACCGGCUAACUACGUGCCAGCAGCCGCGGUAAUACGUAGGGUGCAAGCGUUAAUCGGAAUUACUGGGCGUAAAGCGUGCGCAGGCGGUUAUGCAAGACAGAGGUGAAAUCCCCGGGCUCAACCUGGGAACUGCAUUUGUGACUGUAUAGCUAGAGUACGGUAGAGGGGGAUGGAAUUCCGCGUGUAGCAGUGAAAUGCGUAGAUAUGCGGAGGAACACCGAUGGCGAAGGCAAUCCCCUGGACCUGUACUGACGCUCAUGCACGAAAGCGUGGGGAGCAAACU